RNAcentral lists this ribosomal RNA (468 nucleotides) under uncultured bacterium. RNAcentral's name for it is "partial 16S ribosomal RNA". It matches the Rfam family "Bacterial small subunit ribosomal RNA", at positions 28 to 507 of the family's 1533-position model. The record is from RNAcentral.
GACGAACGCUGGCGGCGUGCUUAACACAUGCAAGUCGAACGGAAAGGCCCUGCUUUUGUGGGGUGCUCGAGUGGCGAACGGGUGAGUAACACGUGAGUAACCUGCCCUUGACUUUGGGAUAACUUCAGGAAACUGGGGCUAAUACCGGAUAGGAGCUCCUGCUGCAUGGUGGGGGUUGGAAAGUUUCGGCGGUUGGGGAUGGACUCGCGGCUUAUCAGCUUGUUGGUGGGGUAGUGGCUUACCAAGGCUUUGACGGGUAGCCGGCCUGAGAGGGUGACCGGCCACAUUGGGAAUGAGAUACGCCCCAGACUCCGACGGGAGGCAGAAGUGGGGAAUAUUACACAAUGGGGGGAAGCCUGAUGCAGCAACGCCGCGGGCGGGAUGACGGCCUUCGGGUUGUAACCCGCUUUCGCCUGUGACGAAGCGUGAGUGACGGUAAUGGGUAAAGAAGCACCGGCUAACUACGUG